GGGCGUAUAGCUCAGUGGUAGAGCAAUUGACUGCAGAUCAAUAGGUCCGGGGUUCGACUCCACGUGCGCCCU
This 72-nucleotide transfer RNA is filed under the name Anaeramoeba flamelloides. Its description in RNAcentral is "tRNA-Cys". It matches the Rfam family "tRNA". Rfam says of the family: Transfer RNA (tRNA) molecules are approximately 80 nucleotides in length. Lineage: Eukaryota; Anaeramoebidae. The record is from RNAcentral.